AUUGAACGCUGGCGGCAGGCCUAACACAUGCAAGUCGAGCGGAUGAAGGGAGCUUGCUCCUGGAUUCAGCGGCGGACGGGUGAGUAAUGCCUAGGAAUCUGCCUGGUAGUGGGGGAUAACGUCCGGAAACGGGCGCUAAUACCGCAUACGUCCUGAGGGAGAAAGUGGGGGAUCUUCGGACCUCACGCUAUCAGAUGAGCCUAGGUCGGAUUAGCUAGUUGGUGGGGUAAAGGCCUACCAAGGCGACGAUCCGUAACUGGUCUGAGAGGAUGAUCAGUCACACUGGAACUGAGACACGGUCAAGACUACUACGGGAGGCAGCAGUGGGGAAUAUUGGACAAUGGGCGAAAGCCUGAUCCAGCCAUGCCGCGUGUGUGAAGAAGGUCUUCGGAUUGUAAAGCACUUUAAGUGGGGAGGAAGGGCAGUAAGUUAAUACCUUGCUGUUUUGACGGUACCAACAGAAUAAGCACCGGCUAACUUCGUG
RNAcentral lists this ribosomal RNA (484 nucleotides) under uncultured bacterium. Its description in RNAcentral is "partial 16S ribosomal RNA". It matches the Rfam family "Bacterial small subunit ribosomal RNA", at positions 30 to 507 of the family's 1533-position model. The record is from RNAcentral.